Long non-coding RNA from Hylaeus volcanicus, 334 nucleotides. RefSeq lists it as uncharacterized. Lineage: Eukaryota; Metazoa; Arthropoda; Insecta; Hymenoptera; Colletidae. The record is from RefSeq and is a predicted model, not a curated record. The transcript is spliced from 2 exons.
UUCGAUUUGUUCAGUAACACAUACCUGAACGUUAAGAUUGGUGUUUAAGCAACUCUGACUUUCGUGCGUUGUCGUUUCACCUAAUGCACUAAAAACAUGCGCAUCUUGGUUCCGGUCACCGCCCUAACAAGAAAAACAAAGUAAGACAUUCCUUACAGAAAGAGCUGUCUGUUCCAUGGCUUUUUGACUCACACGCAAAGUCAACAAAAUGUUGUUGAUCUUGAAUGUUUUUCUCAUUUAAAAGUCGUUCCUUUAAAGCCAUUGACACGUUUUUGCUAAAAACAAUUGGUAUCAAUUUUUAACAAUUAAAUAGAAUUAUUCUUUCGCAUGACAA